Molecule: ribosomal RNA, 607 nt
Filed under: Plateros sp. UPOL A00500
Lineage: Eukaryota; Metazoa; Arthropoda; Insecta; Coleoptera; Lycidae
Description: partial 16S ribosomal RNA
Rfam family: Bacterial large subunit ribosomal RNA (bases 381-539)
Source: RNAcentral
CAUGUCUUUUUGAUUAUAAUUUAAAGUCUAAUCUGCACAAUGAUAAUUAAAUUGCCGCAGUAUUUUGACUGUGCAAAGGUAGCAUAAUAAUUAGUUUCUUAAUUAGGAACUGGAAUGAAUGAUUGGACGAGAAAAUUUCUGUCUCUUAUUAAAUGGUUUUUAAAUUUUAUUUUUAAGUAAAAAAGCUUAAAUAUUUAUAAAAGACGAGAAGACCCUAUAGAGUUUAAUAUUUUAUUUUUAAUUAGCUUUUAGGAAUAUUUUUUAAUUUGAAGUAUUUUGUUGGGGUGAUUCAGGGAUUUAUGAAAUUCUUUAAAAAUUUAAAUUGAUGAUUAUUAAAUUUUUUAUCUAAAUUUUUUAAAUUUAAAACUAAUUACCUUAGGGAUAACAGCGUAAUUUUUCUUAAAAGCUCAUAUUGAAAGAAAAUUUUGCGACCUCGAUGUUGGAUUAAAAUAAAUUUUUGGUGCAGUAACUUAAAAAUUAGGUCUGUUCGACCUUUAAUAUUUUACAUGAUCUGAGUUUAAACCGGUGUAAGCCAGGUUGGAUUCUAUCUUUAGUUUUAUCAUAUAUUUUAGUACGAAAGGACCAAAUAUAUAUUAUAUAUUAAUUG